This 704-nucleotide ribosomal RNA is filed under the name uncultured Bacteroidota bacterium. Its description in RNAcentral is "bacterial SSU rRNA". It matches the Rfam family "Bacterial small subunit ribosomal RNA", at positions 212 to 917 of the family's 1533-position model. The record is from RNAcentral. Lineage: Bacteria; Pseudomonadati; Bacteroidota.
AUUCCGGUAGACGAUGGGGAUGCGUUCCAUUAGAUAGUAGGCGGGGUAACGGUCCACCUAGUCUUCGAUGGAUAGGGGUUCUGAGAGGAAGGUCCCCCACAUUGGAACUGAGACACGGUCCAAACUCUACGGGAGGCAGCAGUGAGGAAUAUUGGUCAAUGGGCGAGAGCCUGAACCAGCCAAGUAGCGUGAAGGAUGACUGCCCUAUGGGUUGUAAACUUCUUUUAUAAAGGAAUAAAGUCGGGUAUGCAUACCCGUUUGCAUGUACUUUAUGAAUAAGGAUCGGCUAACUCCGUGCCAGCAGCCGCGGUAAUACGGAGGAUCCGAGCGUUAUCCGGAUUUAUUGGGUUUAAAGGGAGCGUAGAUGGAUGUUUAAGUCAGUUGUGAAAGUUUGCGGCUCAACCGUAAAAUUGCAGUUGAUACUGGAUAUCUUGAGUGCAGUUGAGGCAGGCGGAAUUCGUGGUGUAGCGGUGAAAUGCUUAGAUAUCACGAAGAACUCCGAUUGCGAAGGCAGCCUGCUAAGCUGCAACUGACAUUGAGGCUCGAAAGUGUGGGUAUCAAACAGGAUUAGAUACCCUGGUAGUCCACACGGUAAACGAUGAAUACUCGCUGUUUGCGAUAUACGGCAAGCGGCCAAGCGAAAGCGUUAAGUAUUCCACCUGGGGAGUACGCCGGCAACGGUGCAACUCAAAGGAAUUGACGGA